Molecule: ribosomal RNA, 237 nt
Filed under: uncultured bacterium
Lineage: Bacteria
Description: partial 16S ribosomal RNA
Rfam family: Bacterial small subunit ribosomal RNA
Source: RNAcentral
CCGGCACGGGUGAGUAACACGUAUCCAACCUGCCGUCUACUCUUGGACAGCCUUCUGAAAGGAAGAUUAAUACAAGAUGGCAUCAUGAGUUCACAUGUUCACAUGAUUAAAGGUAUUCCGGUAGACGAUGGGGAUGCGUUCCAUUAGAUAGUAGGCGGGGUAACGGCCCACCUAGUCUUCGAUGGAUAGGGGUUCUGAGAGGAAGGUCCCCCACAUUGGAACUGAGGCACGGUCCAA